Molecule: ribosomal RNA, 254 nt
Filed under: uncultured microorganism
Description: partial 16S ribosomal RNA
Rfam family: Archaeal small subunit ribosomal RNA
Source: RNAcentral
CACCGGCGGCUCGAGUGGUGGCCACUUUUAUUGGGUCUAAAGCGUCCGUAGCCGGCUUGGCAAGUCCCCUGGGAAAUCUGGCGGCUUAACCGUCAGGCGUCCAGAGGAUACUGCCAGGCUUGGGACCGGGAGAGGUGAGAGGUACCUCAGGGGUAGGGGUGAAAUCUUGUGAUCCCUGAGAGACCACCAGUGGCGAAGGCGUCUCACUAGAACGGGUCCGACGGUCAGGGACGAAAGCUGGGGGCACGAACCGG